RNAcentral lists this ribosomal RNA (116 nucleotides) under Candidatus Magnetoglobus multicellularis. Lineage: Bacteria; Pseudomonadati; Thermodesulfobacteriota; Desulfobacteria; Desulfobacterales; Desulfobacteraceae. RNAcentral also lists the same sequence under 1 other name. The record is from RNAcentral.
UUUGGUGUCUAUAGCGAAGGGGUUACACCUGUUACCAUCUCGAACACAGAAGUUAAGACCUUCAGCGCUGAUGGUACUGCCGGGUUUCCUGGUGGGAGAGUAAGUCGAUGCCAGGA